Molecule: small RNA, 2036 nt
Filed under: Drosophila pseudoobscura pseudoobscura
Lineage: Eukaryota; Metazoa; Arthropoda; Insecta; Diptera; Drosophilidae
Description: GA28428
Source: RNAcentral
GUCACCAGAUCGAGUUAUAAUGGACAAAAAAGCAUAUAUGUACAUAUCAAUCUGGCUCACACUGCACGGCUUUUCGGCCAUCCCAUCGCUAGUGCAGAUGCCCAGCACUGAAAGUUGCGUCCCGCGUUUUCCACCAUUUUGUUUUUGCGGAUAGUUGGCGUCGGCGGGUUUUAUUAUAACAAAAUCCCAAUUAAGUGAAAUAUAAUUUGCAAUUUAGAUCAACGUGAGUUUUUAGAAUGGCCGAGCAUGUAGAGUAUCUGGAUGAUCCCGAUAAAUCGGAGAACGACGCGAAAGUUUACAAAUCUCUUGUGCUGUCGGCACCAUCGGUCCAUAUAGGAUUGCCCAGCAACGCAUCCUGUGCCUUGAUGGUCAACCACGGUCCAUUCGCCGAUCCGCGCAACUAUCAGUGCCUGGCCCACCUUCUGCAACAUAUUAUUUUCAUGCGCAGAAAGCCCAGGAUCCCAAGGUGAACAUCAACGGCCAAUGCUCCUCUUCAAUCUUAAGCGAGGACACGAUGUUCUCCUCUAAAGCAUCCGUUGAUGCUGCAGGAAUCCACUGAAUGUGGCCGCGCUCUCGAGGACUCUGAGUUUCAGCUGAUGGCAAACAAAAAUGAACAGCGUCGCAACCAGCCGCUUGCCGGACUUGCCACCCAAGGCUAUCCGCAUGCCUUUUUCAACUUGGGUAACAUGAAAUUGUAGAAUGACAAUGAUGGCCAUCGCCUCCCAAAUUUUUCUCUUGCAGUGCUGCUACGUGCGACUUGUACGUUUCAUUGGUAAAGUUCCAUUUGGACAAGGAAUUGCAACUCGACGAAAGUGCCAAACUCAAUAGCCACUUCAGGGUCAGCGACAAUGGUCUGCGUCUGUUUGUGAGCCGCUACAAUGAAAAUAUCUGUUUGUGGAGGCCAUUGCCUAAGGUAUAACCAGGUUUAAUAACCAGCGCGACUACUACUCCACAAUUCUGAACAAUCCAUGGACCCUCAGCAGGCAGUAUUCUGUAGAGCUGGGACAAAGCCAAUGCCUGACCAUUGUCAAGUAUAAGUCCCUCAAUGGGAUCACUAUGGAGGAUUUAAAGGCAUUUGCCCAGAAAAUACCGCAGGAGCUGUAGAUCAAGGCCCAAAAGGUGGUCCAUUCGUUACUCGGCCCACUAAAAUGCGAGGCCAUUAGGGAUAUGCGGCUCGUGGAGAAAGGAAACGUAAACCUUUACGCGUGGAGGUCAUACUCGACUUGUUAAAUAUGGGCAUCGGGCACCGUCAAAUUUUUUAGACCAGAAUCCAAAUGAAAAUGAGUUGGACAUUGUAUUUCAGCCAAAAAAAUGGAGAGGGGGAUAUGCGGACCAUUGUCGAUAUUGCUGAUUUCAAAAGCGGUACCCCAAACGCAACGAGGGAGGAGCUGUGGGAGGAAACUAGCCGUACCUCAAGCUUCGAGGAUGCCCUGAGAAAUCUGUGCACCAUCGUAGAAUCUUGAUGUUCAUACACUCACGAGAAAGCCAGACAAGGGACACACUCUCCAGAUAAGUUUUUAAGUUGAAUUGAAUACUAGUAUUACAAGUAAUAAUUUCCAUACAUUUAUCAUUAUUUUUAAAAUUUUUUAUUUACUUAUUCAUUUUUCAAAUGACCAAGUCAAACAAUUGAUGGAUUCCUUUCGCUCCCAGACAAAUGGGUUCGCAUGGAACAUCUUCGCCUGCUGAUGAAUUCCUAAGUUUAAAUGAAUAAGAAUAAUAUUAAAAGUACAUUGUAUACAGAAUUCAACAUCUUCAUGUAUGGAUACGAAUGCUGCUGCCAGGCUCUGGCUGGGACCGUUUAAGGUCGUAUUUCACUAGCAAUAAAAAACUAUAUACUAUAGCAACUAUGGCAACAAACCCAAACGACGACAUAUUGAAAUUCAUAAAGGCGUUCGAGCCAAAGUCAAUCCAUGCUUCCCGCUUCGGAUUUAUUCCGAUUGGCGCGACUAGGGUAUACAAAAACCUAUGCGCGCAUCAUGUCUAAAAUACUAUUUUGUUUAAACUUUGUUUUAGUCAAAAUACAAUAAAAGCAUGGA